GAUGAACGCUGGCGGCGUGCCUAAUACAUGCAAGUCGAGCGAACAGACGAGGAGCUUGCUCCUCUGACGUUAGCGGCGGACGGGUGAGUAACACGUGGAUAACCUACCUAUAAUACUGGGAUAACUUCGGGAAACCGGAGCUAAUACCGGAUAAUAUAUUGAACCGCAUGGUUCAAUAGUGAAAGACGGUUUUGCUUUCACGUAUAGAUUGAUCCGCGCCGCAUUAGCUAGUUGGUAAGGUAACGGCUUACCAAGGCGACGAUGCGUAGCCGACCUGAGAGGGUGAUCGGCCACACUGGAACUGAGACACGGUCCAGACUCCUACGGGAGGCAGCAGUAGGGAAUCUUCCGCAAUGGGCGAAAGCUUGACGGAGCAACGCCGCGUGAGUGAUGAAGGUAUUCGGAUCGUAAAACUAUGUUAUUAGGGAAGAACAAAUGUGUAAGUAACUAUGCACGUCUUGACGGUACCUAAUCAGAAAGCCACGGCUAACUACGUG
RNAcentral lists this ribosomal RNA (497 nucleotides) under uncultured bacterium. Its description in RNAcentral is "partial 16S ribosomal RNA". It matches the Rfam family "Bacterial small subunit ribosomal RNA", at positions 28 to 507 of the family's 1533-position model. The record is from RNAcentral.